AUACGGAGGAUCCGAGCGUUAUCCGGAUUUAUUGGGUUUAAAGGGAGCGUAGGUGGACAGUUAAGUCAGUUGUGAAAGUUUGCGGCUCAACCGUAAAAUUGCAGUUGAUACUGGCUGUCUUGAGUACAGUAGAGGUGGGCGGAAUUCGUGGUGUAGCGGUGAAAUGCUUAGAUAUCACGAAGAACUCCGAUUGCGAAGGCAGCUCACUGGACUGCAACUGACACUGAUGCUCGAAAGUAUGGGUAUCAAACAGGAUUAGAUACCCUGGUAGUCCACACAGUAAACGAUUAAUACUCGCUGUUUGCGAUAUACAGUAAGCGGCCAAGCGAAAGCAUUAAGUAUUCCACCUGGGGAGUACGCCGGCAACGGUGAAACUCAAAAGAAUUGACGGGG
This 393-nucleotide ribosomal RNA is filed under the name uncultured bacterium. RNAcentral describes it as "partial 16S ribosomal RNA". It matches the Rfam family "Bacterial small subunit ribosomal RNA", at positions 523 to 918 of the family's 1533-position model. The record is from RNAcentral.